GAUGAACGCUGGCUACAGGCUUAACACAUGCAAGUCGAGGGGAAACGACGGGGAAGCUUGCUUCCCCGGGCGUCGACCGGCGCACGGGUGAGUAACGCGUAUCCAACCUGCCUCUGACUGAGGGAUAACCCGUCGAAAGUCGGCCUAAUACCUCAUGGCAUCGUCUGCGGGCAUCCAACGACGAUUAAAGAUUUCAUCGGUCAGGGAUGGGGAUGCGUCUGAUUAGCUUGUUGGCGGGGGAACGGCCCACCAAGGCUACGAUCAGUAGGGGUUCUGAGAGGAAGGUCCCCCACAUUGGAACUGAGACACGGUCCAAUCUCCUACGGGAGGCAGCAGUGAGGAAUAUUGGUCAAUGGGCGGGAGCCUGAACCAGCCAAGUAGCGUGCAGGAUGACGGCCCUAUGGGUUGUAAACUGCUUUUAUGCGGGGAUAAAGUGAGGGACGUGUCCUUCAUUGCAGGUACCGCAUGAAUAAGGACCGGCUAAUUCCGUG
RNAcentral lists this ribosomal RNA (491 nucleotides) under uncultured bacterium. RNAcentral describes it as "partial 16S ribosomal RNA". It matches the Rfam family "Bacterial small subunit ribosomal RNA", at positions 28 to 507 of the family's 1533-position model. The record is from RNAcentral.